Long non-coding RNA from Solanum lycopersicum (tomato), 444 nucleotides. RefSeq lists it as uncharacterized. Lineage: Eukaryota; Viridiplantae; Streptophyta; Magnoliopsida; Solanales; Solanaceae. The record is from RefSeq and is a predicted model, not a curated record.
CAAAAGGCUUAUGGUUCAUAUAUCUAUCACUAAAAAUUUUCACAACAUAACGUAAUAUAACAGAACAUUGUAGCUUUAUUUCAUGUCAGGACAGAAGGUAUCCAUGGUGAUGCGGGUUAAUCUAGAUUGCCUUGUUGUAAGAAAAUGAGAAGAAUAAUUCUGCGAAUGAAAGAAAUAGAGAUGCACCUGAUUGAGACGCAAGAGAAGAGAAUAAGCAUAUUGGGAAGGUUAGAUCCGGCAGAUACAGCCAUAAGAAUAAGGGAAAAAAUGAACCGGAGAGUAGAGAUUUUGGACAUUCAAUUACCCCAACAACCUGACCUUGACCCUGACUAGAUGCAUCAGCAACCCACGUAAACUACCUUCUUUUACCUAAUAUUCAAAAACUUUAUGCUUUCUUUCUUUGUAUAUAAUCAAUUAAUACCAAAUUAAUCUCAUUUCUUUUAA